This 219-nucleotide unclassified non-coding RNA is filed under the name soil metagenome. RNAcentral's name for it is "partial contains 5.8S ribosomal RNA, internal transcribed spacer 2, and large subunit ribosomal RNA". The record is from RNAcentral.
AACGAGGCCGACCUGCGGCUGAGUUACCUGCGGAGGGAUCAUUACAAGUGACCCCGGUCUAACCACCGGGAUGUUCAUAGCCCUUUGUUGUCCGACUCUGUUGCCUCCGGGGCGACCCUGCCUUCGGGCGGGGGCUCCGGGUGGACACUUCAAACUCUUGCGUAACUUUGCAGUCUGAGUAAACUUAAUUAAUAAAUUAAAACUUUUAACAAUGGAUCU